GGACCCCCACCUGGGUAACCGUUAGCCACGGGCCCGGUAUUGAGCCUUGCUGCGCGCCUGGUAACAGGCGUGUAGAUGCGUAGGUACAAGAGCAGGCGAGGUGCAAGGGUAACGGGUGAAGCCGACCUUGAAGGUGUAGAGCCCCGAAAAAUUCAGUUGGAGAGUGCCGACGGGUUUGUCCCUCCGGCAGGCAACAACCCAUGCCGCGUCAAGAUUGUAAUAGGGGACAGACCACUGUUUUAUCCUC
Molecule: non-coding RNA, 247 nt
Organism: Nitrococcus mobilis Nb-231
Lineage: Bacteria; Pseudomonadati; Pseudomonadota; Gammaproteobacteria; Chromatiales; Ectothiorhodospiraceae
Source: Rfam